This 585-nucleotide ribosomal RNA is filed under the name uncultured bacterium. RNAcentral describes it as "bacterial SSU rRNA". It matches the Rfam family "Bacterial small subunit ribosomal RNA", at positions 338 to 916 of the family's 1533-position model. The record is from RNAcentral.
CCUACGGGAGGCAGCAGUGGGGAAUUUUGGACAAUGGGCGCAAGCCUGAUCCAGCAAUGCCGCGUGAGUGAAGAAGGCCUUCGGGUUGUAAAGCUCUUUUGUCAGGGAAGAAACGGUCUGUUCUAAUACAGCGGGCUAAUGACGGUACCUGAAGAAUAAGCACCGGCUAACUACGUGCCAGCAGCCGCGGUAAUACGUAGGGUGCAAGCGUUAAUCGGAAUUACUGGGCGUAAAGCGUGCGCAGGCGGUUUUGUAAGUUUGUCGUGAAAUCCCCGGGCUCAACCUGGGAAUGGCGAUGAAGACUGCAAGGCUAGAGUUUGGCAGAGGGGGGUAGAAUUCCACGUGUAGCAGUGAAAUGCGUAGAUAUGUGGAGGAACACCGAUGGCGAAGGCAGCCCCCUGGGUCAAAACUGACGCUCAUGCACGAAAGCGUGGGGAGCAAACAGGAUUAGAUACCCUGGUAGUCCACGCCCUAAACGAUGUCUACUAGUUGUCGGGUCUUAAUUGACUUGGUAACGCAGCUAACGCGUGAAGUAGACCGCCUGGGGAGUACGGUCGCAAGAUUAAAACUCAAAGGAAUUGACGG